AAUUCCAGCGAGAGACAGAGGGAGCGAGCGGGCGGGCUGGGCGAGCUCUGUGCAGAGCCGCUCUCCGGGCGUCCUGGGAAGGCAGCUUGGGAGCGAGAGGGGCUUCGCUCGCCUCCGGGCCUGCCGCUCCCCCUGCCCCAGCCCUCCCGCGGUCGCAACCCUCGCCCCCUCUGGGAAACUUUGCCCAUUGCAGCGGGCGGACACUUUUGCACUGGGACUUACAGUCUGCGAGUGAGGACAGGACUCCCCAGGCGCCGGGGAGGAAAUUUUUGUCUAUUUGGGGACAGUGUUCUCUGCCUC
RNAcentral lists this non-coding RNA (300 nucleotides) under Cricetulus griseus (Chinese hamster). The record is from RNAcentral. Lineage: Eukaryota; Metazoa; Chordata; Mammalia; Rodentia; Cricetidae.